Molecule: long non-coding RNA, 1507 nt
Organism: Aedes albopictus (Asian tiger mosquito)
Lineage: Eukaryota; Metazoa; Arthropoda; Insecta; Diptera; Culicidae
Exons: 3
Source: RefSeq, a predicted model, not a curated record
GAUCGUAUUCGAUCUUUUGCUUCGGUGUACCCCUUGCGAAGGCGGGAUUCACCGGCGGGCAAAAUGUCACUUUGGUCGAUGAAUCGAUCGACGAUUGAUCAUCGGUGACAGAUCGCGAAACGUCACUCAUCGGGAAACGAUCAGACGUCACAACAUAUCGGCAUAAUCAAUAUUUAUGUAAACAUUGAUCAUGCUGAUAGAUUAUUGAAUGAUCUUCAGUCAUGUUCCAACGAAAAUCGGCCGAAUUUUCGUUGAAUCAAUAGGGUGUAUUGGUGUCGGCAAUGGGGUAAAAAUCCCCUUGAACGAAGGCUGUUUGCUGCCAGAGCAACAUCUUCAGGGCGAAGAUGUGCCUGCAGAAAUUCCUAGAAUUUCGGGAUUACCGUGCCAGCCAUCUUGAUUACUACAAGAUGCACUGCAGAUGUUUUACUCAACUAUUUGUAUAAACGCCAGGAGCGAUAUCAGCGGUGGAUAUUGGGUGGAAUGCACACAUCGAGCUGUGAGGACCUAACAGGAUGACUCCUCACCAACCCAUGUAUUCCGGUCCCGGUUUCCUGCAUCACCAGCUACUGCAUUUUGUACCAAAUAAGUUAAGUAAAUCUAUAAGGGAAAUAUACACAUAUUAACUACUUUAAGCGCCACAGGACCCUUCCGGUCUGGGCAAAAUCGUGAAAUUGAUUUUGAAAAGAAAUUCAACUCAAUCACUUCUGUCAAUUAUUAGUGACAGGUAAGUAUAAGUGUGCUGCUUUUUCUAAAAUUUUUAAAAUAUCACAGGUAAGUAUGGUUUUUUGGUAAGUAUUAUCACAGGUAGGUAUAGUACGUAUAGUGGAAUUAUGAUUUUAAAAAUUGUCAAGUUAGACGAUCACGACAAAUUAAAAUUGAACCGAGAAGAUUUCAAUAAAUAGUCCUCUCGUUCAGGACCUCUUUUUUAAACGGAAACCAUUCGUACUUCCACAAAUUUAUAUCGAGUUCGCUUUUAGUGUGUGGUUUUAGACAUUCGUGCUAAGCACGGAUCCCUGCCACCUCCCGUUGGAAAAUCCUUAGAUUUUCAUACUAACCGAUCCUCCGAUUACCUUUCACGAAAUUUACGUUGGGGGCGCCAAUUGUAACCACGGAGACUUGCGGGGCUGCUCCGCAGCCACAGUGGCUCCCAAUUACUCCCGGUUUCAAGCUCAGUAGCAUGAGACCCCUCGAGCUGGGUCUCAGGGCCGGCAUGCUACUCGGUAAUCGGAGGGGCUUCGCGGACAAAGUAUGAACAACUAAGAAGAUUCACAUUUCUAACAUUUAUUAAAACCUUUCUGUGGAGUGUGUGUGUGGGUUGGACAUUUUUGGUGUGGCGUGUAAGCGAGACUAAUAGGCCAAGGCACUGCACGGUACUCACUGUUGCUGCAGACUUACUCCUCGUCGCUUUGGCCCACACGGCUGCUCCUGCACUACCGUGUGGCCGGAAUUUCGCCGCCGGGGCAGCUUGGGAUCGCAAUGGCGGGUUUGUCGACCCGGUACUUGGCCG